This is a long non-coding RNA of Oryzias latipes (Japanese medaka), 953 nucleotides long. RefSeq lists it as uncharacterized. The record is from RefSeq and is a predicted model, not a curated record. NCBI's taxonomy places the organism in Eukaryota, Metazoa, Chordata, Actinopteri, Beloniformes, Adrianichthyidae.
GCCCAUCAUGAUCCACAUUUGUCGUCAUACUGGUUAAUUGCCCUCAGCUUAUUUAAGUGUCUGGUUUUCAGCUCAUCCUUGUGAGGUCAUCUGCUCUGUUGUGUCCCCUUUUUGUUGCUCCGUGAGUUUUUGGCUUUUUCAGUUUGUUUAUUACAUGUUUUAUUUUCUGCCACCAAGGCUGGUCUCCUGCAUUUUGGGUCCUCCGCCACCAGUUCCUGGCAACGAUAGGGGGGUGGUCACGUUGUUUCCUGUCUCCCGCCCCCCAGACUUGGGGGAUGGUCCGGCGUCUGCUACCGGGGUGUUUGGUGGCGUGUGGCGGGGUCCCGCCGAGAAAGGAUGCAGAGGAGCCAAGCUCCUUAUUGGUUAAACACACCUGAUCCAGGUAAUCAGAAGCAGAUAAGGCAGGGUUUCUGGAAAACCAGCAGGAGGCUGACCCUCGAGACCUAUAGUUGGACAUCCCUGGAAGAGUGUGGCAUAAGGGAACCGUACAGCAGCACCACCCAUACGUCAACUUACAUGAGCUUGACAGAGGCCUACUCCACCACGCCGCCUGACUCCACCUCUUGAUGGAGAUGAUUGCAGCCUCCUUCCUUCCUCCAAUCCCAAGGCUGGGCAGGCAAAAUAGAAGCUUUAGCAGCCCCACCUCCAGGGUGUGAGGGAUCCGUUCUCUCAGCCUGCCCCUGCUGUCGGACUUGGCUUUUAGGAGCCUGUGGAAAAGGCCCGGUUUUCCCUUUGUUGUGGUCUUCUUUUCAUGUAUGGUUUUGUCUUAGUACUGUCGCUCUGGUUUAAUUUUCACUUUAGGUUCAGUGGAUAGUUGUGUUAUUUCUCUUAUGUUGUAUUUUUGGCGGAUGCCUUCAGUUUGUUCCCUUUACUAAACCUCAUCUGUAAUCCCAUGGUGUUCACUCUCGCACCUGUCCAUCUAAUAAAUGGUUGCACUGUCAGUCUACACCCAA